This 27-nucleotide non-coding RNA is filed under the name Homo sapiens (human). Lineage: Eukaryota; Metazoa; Chordata; Mammalia; Primates; Hominidae. The record is from RNAcentral.
UGCAGUGUCCUCCUCCGAGCUGUGGGU